GACGAACGCUGGCGGCGUGCUUAACACAUGCAAGUCGAACGGGAUUUAGUAGACAGAAGCCUCGGCUAAAGAUUACUAAUGAGAGUGGCGAACGGGUGAGUAACGCGUGAGCAACCUGCCUAUGACAGUGGGAUAGCCUCGGGAAACCGGGAUUAAUACCGCAUAACAUCGUAGAAACACAUGUUUUAACGGUCAAAGAUUUAUCGGUCAUAGAUGGGCUCGCGUCUGAUUAGCUAGUUGGUGAGAUAACAGCCCACCAAGGCGACGAUCAGUAGCCGGUCGGAGAGAGUGAACGGCCACAUUGAGACAGGGACACGACCCAAACGCCUAGGGGAGGUAGGGGGGGGGAAAAAUGCACAGGGGGGGAAACCCUGAGGCGGCGAGUGAGGGUGAACGAAGAAGGUAUUGUAAACGUAAAUCUCUGCCCAAGGGGAAAAAAAUACCGGUCCCAAAGAAGAAACGCCGGGUUAAAAAGGU
Molecule: ribosomal RNA, 477 nt
Filed under: uncultured bacterium
Lineage: Bacteria
Description: partial 16S ribosomal RNA
Rfam family: Bacterial small subunit ribosomal RNA
Source: RNAcentral